This 447-nucleotide ribosomal RNA is filed under the name uncultured Pseudomonadota bacterium. Its description in RNAcentral is "bacterial SSU rRNA". It matches the Rfam family "Bacterial small subunit ribosomal RNA", at positions 40 to 483 of the family's 1533-position model. The record is from RNAcentral. Lineage: Bacteria; Pseudomonadati; Pseudomonadota.
CGGUAGGCUUAACACAUGCAAGUCGUGCGAGAAAGUAUCUUCGGAUAUGAGUAGAGCGGCGGACGGGUGAGUAACGCGUAGGAAUCUACCUAGUAGAAGGGGAUAGCCCGGGGAAACUCGGAUUAAUACCGUAUACCUCCUUUGGGAGAAAGAGGGCCUCUCUUGAUGCUCUCGCUAUUAGAUGAGCCUGCGUAAGAUUAGCUAGUUGGUAAGGUAAUGGCUUACCAAGGCUACGAUCUUUAGCUGGUCUGAGAGGACGAUCAGCCACAUUGGGACUGAGACACGGCCCAGACUCCUACGGGAGGCAGCAGUGGGGAAUAUUGGACAAUGGGCGCAAGCCUGAUCCAGCCAUACCGCGUGUGUGAAGAAGGCCUUCGGGUUGUAAAGCACUUUAAGCAGGGAGAAAAAGCUAUAAGUUAAUACCUUAUAGCCGUGAUGUUACCUGCA